This is a non-coding RNA of Punica granatum (pomegranate), 2219 nucleotides long. The record is from RefSeq and is a predicted model, not a curated record. Lineage: Eukaryota; Viridiplantae; Streptophyta; Magnoliopsida; Myrtales; Lythraceae.
UCAGUUAUUAUUCCUGCCGCCAAUGUGCAAACACAGCCGAAUUAAGCACUCGGAGAAGAAGGAGAAGGAGAAGAAAUGGCGUCCGAAAUGUCGGAGGUACUCGUCGUCCCGCGCGCAAACAUUCAUUCGGGUCCGACACCAUUAGCAGCAUCAUAAGACUGCAGAUGCAAAGGCUAUUGCCAGGCUCUCUUGACCUUAAUUUCUUUCGCCGAAAUUAUGAGAGUUUACCGGAUUGGAAGUAUGUUUGGUGGAUGGUUGUUUUCCCUCCUGACUUAAUGAUGAUGCAACGGCUUUUCGAGACCGUAUGUUCCCUCACUUGUGAGUGGAUCAUGAGGCCAGUUGACUCGAAGGUUGAAGAUGGAUCCAAAGGGUGGCACAUGUUGGAACAAAAGAGGUCAGGAGGUCAGAUUGCUUUGCUGGUCGUAGGAGAUUCCGGUUGAAGGAAAUAGACGUUGAAACUAAGCUUGUCGUUGUCUAAGAAUUAUAGGUAGUGAGAAUUAGAUGCUUUUGCUCCAUGAUAAUGUCAAAGGAUGUAUCAUUCCGUACUGGUUGAUCGGAUCUUUCAAAAGGAAGCUGCUAACUUCAUCGAGGGCACGUGAUCCCAAGCCGGCUAAGCAUUUCUAUCCUGCUUAGCUUGGAUGAACAGUUUACACCUCCAAUGCACUAUCAAACGUUACACCAUUCAAUUCAAGCGCGCACUCGAAUCUACAACAGAAGAAGGCACACUCUGCAUCUUCCUGCUUGGGUUUUAUGCGUUCAUCCACCGAUAACGUCGGUGGAAAAGAAUGAUCGGGCCUAGCUAUUUGUUUCAAUAUUACUCCCCAGUCCUUGGUUAUCUCUGAUGACUUCCUUCAAAGCCAAUCUAACUGUUCCCAGUCCUUGGUUUUCUGUCAAUUGUAUUUUAUUUGUUUAUGUCCCAAAGUUGUUGUUUGUUGCAAAACUCUCCCAAAACAAGUUGCCACGUCAGCAUUCCAUCCACCUCUUGACGGAAUAUGGACGGCAUACUGUGCGGUGAAAAAUUUGUUUUCGUACUGUACAAGAAAAUGAUUUGAAUUCAUGCUGCAGUGUGAAAAAAGUGAAAAAACCGUAUUGUACGAUGUUAUUUUCCCUAUCUAGUACAUUUAAUGGGAAAGUGUCAAUGCAUACGUGAUGGCUCCUUCUCACAUGAAAAUGUUUAUAUGGCAAUUCCUACUCGCACGAACGGAAUGCUCUUGUGAGAAUAGUCCGAAUUACUUUAUAUAUAUAUAUAUAUAUAUAUAUAUAUAUAUAUAUAGAUGUUACAAUUUCAAACGCACAAAAUUAGAAGAAUUAGGGUUUUUUGUGCAUAUCUCUUUGUUAAAAUAAUAAUUCGACAACAAAUUCAAAAUAACAGAAGUAAUCUAAUCAAAUCCUUUUAAACCCCUUAAUGAACACUAUCCAAAUAAGGGUCUCGAAAUGCCUUCAUACCCUGUAAAAAACUUCCCCACUUUAGCUGUCCAUAACCUUCUAGGCCUGUACUCCUUCGAACCCUUUAAUAAAGAAUACUCCAAAUAUGGUUAGAGAAGCUAGUUCUUGUUCCAGUCAACUGGCUUCUAACAUCCACACGUCACACAACGUACUGCCAUAUGCCAUUCUUCCAUGUCAGCAUCGUUUAACGAAUGAUUAAACGGAAUGUCAAAAUCGAAUAAGAUUUGCAACAAUGAGGAUUUAGAGGUGACAAAAACAAUAACAACAAUGGAAAAGCACCUAACCGGACUGAAAGCGUAUAUUAACGGUGGGCUUAACACUUCCCCCGAUUUGGUCCUAUUGGGCCCAGAGUAGGCCCCCAAUUGAAAAGCCCAGUGCUUGAAUUGAAUGGGCGCCACUAAGAAGCAGUUUUUCCCCUUUUAUUUAUUUGUUUAGUUAUUAUUCCUGCCGGCAUAUGUAUGCACAGCCGAAUUAAGCACUCGAAGAAGGAGGAGAAGGAGCAGAAAUGGCGUCCGAAAUGUCGGAGGUACUCGUCGUCCCGCGCGCAAACAUCUUGGAUGAACAGUUUACACCACCAAUGCACUAUCAAACAUUACAUCAUUCAAUUCAAGCGCGCACUCGAAUCUACAAAAGAAAAAGGCACACUCUGCAUCUUCCUACUUGGGUUUUAUGCGUUCAUCCACCAAUAACGACGGUGGAAAAGAAUGAUCGGGCCUAGCUAUUUGUUUCAAUAUUACUGCCUAGUCCUUGGUUAUCUCUGAUGACUUCCUUCA